This 591-nucleotide ribosomal RNA is filed under the name uncultured bacterium. RNAcentral describes it as "bacterial SSU rRNA". It matches the Rfam family "Bacterial small subunit ribosomal RNA", at positions 77 to 684 of the family's 1533-position model. The record is from RNAcentral.
CCUUCGGGUAUUGAGGAUGGCGGACGGGUGAGUAACGCGUAAGGAACUUGCCUCUUGGACUGGGACAACUGUUGGAAACGACAGCUAAUACCGGAUAUUAUGAGAUUCUCGCAUGAGAAACUUAUGAAAGCUAUAUGCGCCAAGAGAGAGCCUUGCGUUCCAUUAGCUAGUUGGUGGGGUAACGGCCCACCAAGGCGACGAUGGAUAGCCGGCCUGAGAGGGUGAACGGCCACAAGGGGACUGAGACACGGCCCUUACUCCUACGGGAGGCAGCAGUGGGGAAUAUUGGACAAUGGACCACAAGUCUGAUCCAGCAAUUCUGUGUGCACGAUGAAGGUCUUCGGAUUGUAAAGUGCUUUCAGUUGGGAAGAAGAAAGUGACGGUACCAACAGAAGAAGCGACGGCUAAAUACGUGCCAGCAGCCGCGGUAAUACGUAUGUCGCAAGCGUUAUCCGGAUUUAUUGGGCGUAAAGCGCGUCUAGGCGGAAAAAUAAGUCUGAUGUUAAAAUGCGGGGCUCAACUCCGUAUUGCGUUGGAAACUGUUUUUCUAGAGUACUGGAGAGGUGGGCGGAACUACAAGUGUAGAGGUGA